RNAcentral lists this ribosomal RNA (345 nucleotides) under uncultured bacterium. RNAcentral's name for it is "bacterial SSU rRNA". It matches the Rfam family "Bacterial small subunit ribosomal RNA", at positions 505 to 856 of the family's 1533-position model. The record is from RNAcentral.
GUGUCAGCAGCCGCGGUGAUACGUAGGGUGCAAGCGUUAAUCGGAAUUACUGGGCGUAAAGCGUGCGCAGGCGGUUAUGUAAGACAGAUGUGAAACUCCCCGGGCUCAACCUGGGAACUGCAUUUGUGACUGCAUAGCUAGAGUACGGUAGGAGGGGAUGGAAUUCCGCGUGUAGCAGUGAAUGCGUAGAUAUGCGGAGGAACACCGAUGGCGAAGGCAACUCCCCUGGACCUGUACUGACGCUCAUGCACGAAAGCGUGGGGAGCAAACAGGAUUAGAUACCCUGGUAGUCCACGACCCUAAACGAUGUCAACUGGUUGUUGGGUCUUCACUGACUCAAGUAAA